RNAcentral lists this ribosomal RNA (405 nucleotides) under uncultured bacterium. Its description in RNAcentral is "partial 16S ribosomal RNA". It matches the Rfam family "Bacterial small subunit ribosomal RNA", at positions 30 to 525 of the family's 1533-position model. The record is from RNAcentral.
AUUGAACGCUGGCGGCAGGCCUAACACAUGCAAGUCGAACGAGUGGCGGACGGGUUAUUAAUGUCUGGGAAACUUCCUGAUGGAGGGGGAUAACUACUGGAAACGGUAGCUAAUACCGCAUACCAUCGGAUGUUCCCAGAUGGGAUUAGCUAGUAGGUGGGGUAAAGGCUCACCUAGGCGACGAUCCCUAGCUGGUCUGAGAGGAUGACCAGACAAAGUGGAACUGAGACACGUUCCAGAUUCUGACGGGAGGAAGCAGGGGGGAUUAUUGCAAAAGGGGGGAAAGCCGUAAGCAGCCAUGCGGGGUGUAUGAAGAAGGCCUUCGGGUUGUAAAGUAUUUUCAGCGGGGAGGCGUUACCCGAAGAAGAAGCACCGGCUAACUCCGUGCAAGCAGCCGCGGUAAUA